Molecule: non-coding RNA, 292 nt
Organism: Candidatus Woesebacteria bacterium
Lineage: Bacteria; Candidatus Woeseibacteriota
Source: Rfam
UCUGGAGGAAGGAUGAUCGCUGUGUUCAUUUAUGAAUACAGAGGAAAGUCCAGGCAGCUGAAGGUCGGGUGGUCGCCGCAAGGUGACACGCGCAAGCGCUAGUCAGAGCCACAGAAACUAUGUCGGCCGGUUUACCCUAAAGGUAGGCAGGUACGAGUGAAAAGGGGCAAUCCUCCCCGCUGCAACCUCCGAAUGGGUCGCUAAUAGGUAACCUUCCCGAGACCCGAAGUUUGAGGGCGUUAGAUGGAUGAUCGUCUAAAAACAGAACCUGGCUUACUAGCCUCCAGAGCAU